RNAcentral lists this transfer RNA (61 nucleotides) under Coneuplecta calculosa. Its description in RNAcentral is "tRNA-Val". The record is from RNAcentral. Lineage: Eukaryota; Metazoa; Mollusca; Gastropoda; Stylommatophora; Euconulidae.
UAAAUUAAGUAUAAAAUUUACAAUUCAUUUACAAUGAAAAGAUUCCUAUAAGGAAAUUUAU